Molecule: ribosomal RNA, 454 nt
Filed under: uncultured Rikenellaceae bacterium
Lineage: Bacteria; Pseudomonadati; Bacteroidota; Bacteroidia; Bacteroidales; Rikenellaceae
Description: partial 16S ribosomal RNA
Rfam family: Bacterial small subunit ribosomal RNA
Source: RNAcentral
ACGGAAGGCAGCAGUGAGGAAUAUUGGUCAAUGGAGGCAACUCUGAACCAGCCAUCUCGCGUGAAGGAAUACGGCCCUACGGGUCUUAAACUUCUUUUGUAGGGGGAUAAAGUGAGCCACGAGUGGCUUUUUGUAUGUACCCUAUGAAUAAGCAUCGGCUAACUCCGUGCCAGCAGCCGCGGUAAUACGGAGGGUGCGAGCGUUAUCCGGAUUUAUUGGGUUUAAAGGGUGCGCAGGCGGCACGUUAAGUCAGCGGUGAAAUGUCGGGGCUCAACCCGGGCACUGCCGUUGAAACUGGCGAGCUCGAGUACGGAUGAAGUUGGCGGAAUGUGAUGUGUAGCGGUGAAAUGCUUAGAUAUGUCACAGAACACCGAUUGCGAAGGCAGCUGACUAAUCCGCAACUGACGCUGAGGCACGAAAGCGUGGGGAUCGAACAGGAUUAGAUACCCUGGUA